GACGAACGCUGGCGGCGUGCUUAACACAUGCAAGUCGAACGGAAAGGCCCUGCUUUUGUGGGGUGCUCGAUUGGCGAACGGGUGAGUAACACGUGAGUAUCCUGCCCUUGACUUUGGGAUAACUUCAGGAAACUGGGGCUAAUACCGGAUAGGAGCUCCUGCUCCAUGGUGGGGUUUGGAAAGUUUCGGCGGUUGGGGAUGGACUCGCGGCUUAUCAGCUUGUUGGUGGGGUAGUGGCUUACCAAGGCUUUGACGGGUAGCCGGCCUGAGAGGGUGACAGGCCACAUAGGGACUGAGAUACGGCCCAGACUGAUACGGGAGGCAGCAGUGGGGAAUAUAGGACAAGGGGCGGAGGGAGGAUGGAGGGACGCCGGGUGCGGGAUGACGGCCUUCGGGGUGGAAGCCGCUUUCGCCGGUGACGAAGCGUGAGUGACGGUAAUGGGUAAAGAAGCACCGGCUAACUACGUG
RNAcentral lists this ribosomal RNA (468 nucleotides) under uncultured bacterium. RNAcentral describes it as "partial 16S ribosomal RNA". It matches the Rfam family "Bacterial small subunit ribosomal RNA", at positions 28 to 507 of the family's 1533-position model. The record is from RNAcentral.